CGAUGUAUAGGAGCUGACACCUGCCCGGUGCUGGAAGGUGAAGGGGAUCUGUUAGAGCAAUCGAAGCAGUGCACUUAAGCCCCAGUAGACGGCGGCCGUAACGAGAACGGUGAUACGGUAGCGAAAUUCCAUGGCGGGUAAGUUCCGACCCGCACGAAAGGCGUAACGAGUUGGGCACUGUCUCAACAACAGAAUCGGUGAAAUUGUAAUUCCGGUGAAGCUGCCGGAUACCUGCGACAGGACGGAAAGACCCCCUGGAGCUUUACUGUAGCUUGACAUUGGGUAUUGGUAAUACAUGUACCGGAUAGGUUGGAGGCUUUGAAACCAGGACGCCAGUUUUGGCGGAGUCAUCCUUGGGAUACCACCCUUGUCGUACUGGGACUCUAACCCUCGU
This 394-nucleotide ribosomal RNA is filed under the name Clostridioides difficile. RNAcentral's name for it is "bacterial LSU rRNA". It matches the Rfam family "Bacterial large subunit ribosomal RNA", at positions 1839 to 2232 of the family's 2925-position model. Lineage: Bacteria; Bacillati; Bacillota; Clostridia; Peptostreptococcales; Peptostreptococcaceae. The record is from RNAcentral.